This is a long non-coding RNA of Oryza brachyantha (malo sina), 1151 nucleotides long. RefSeq lists it as uncharacterized. The transcript has 3 exons. Lineage: Eukaryota; Viridiplantae; Streptophyta; Magnoliopsida; Poales; Poaceae. The record is from RefSeq and is a predicted model, not a curated record.
AGGUAGGCUACCCCCACAUCCCUCACCUCCCUCCACUCCCACACCCCUCGUCUCCCUCGCUCAACCACUCAACCAGCUCGGCCUCCCCAGUCGGUCGCCACACCAAAACCACCACCGCCGUCUUCCUGCCUCCCCGCCAGCGUGCUCCCCUGCCCGACACCACCAUCCCCGGCCUCCACCCCGCCGGCCUCAUUAGGGUUGGCAACAGGGCGGGUCGGGGCCGGGGUGAAGAGGAGAGUGGAGAGGAGAGAAGAGGACACUGACCUAGGUUCCUGGCCGCUGGCGUGGGGAGGCGGCGGCAUCUGGGCUCCUGGCCACCGGGUAGGGAGGCACCGCCGGCAUGGGGAGGAGGCAGCGACGUCCUGGCGACGGCGUCAACGAGGGGCCCAUGCCGACAUGGAGGGGAGGCGGCGGCGACAUCGACGAGGGUCGGCGCCGGCUGGAGAGGAGGUAGAGUGAGGUCGGAUCCGUUUACAAUUAGGGUAGUGAGGUCGGAUCCGUUUACACUUAGGGUUCGUGCUUGGCGGAUAGUGGUGGCUGCGCGGGCGGACGACUACGACUGCACGGCGGCGGCUGCGGCCGGCCCGUGCUCGAUGGACAACAGCGGCGGAUGACUCUGUCGUCGGCUUGAGCCCGGCAACAGGGCGCUGUGCGUGGCCUCUGUUGGCAACAUCCGGGGUUUCCGCCAUCGCCAUGCCUAGGUGGUUGCUGGUUUUGGAGGACCUGAGUAUUCUGUAGAGCAUGAGGAAUCAGGCGCCAUGUUAAUGACUGAAAUCACACUGGCGAAGCUGCAAAACACCAUUAGGCCCACAAUACUUCCAGAACCUGGAUGACUCACUAGAGUGAAUGGGCUUUAAGAUAAAUCACCUACAAAGUGGAUAUGUGAUUUAAUUAUCCUGUCACUUUCUUUAAGCACUUCCAAUACAGUAUUGUCUAUUCUCUGUUUGAGAGGUUGGUGUCAUAGUUUGCAGACAGUUGUGUGAUGCUGCUUUGAACUAUGAGCAGUUGCUUACAAAAAUUUGAACUGUUGUGUUAUUGUUUCCUGCCUUGUUUCUUCUUCUUUUUUUUAGAAUAUCAACUCGAGACGACGUCAAACAGAUAUGGCAGCUGCAAGCAUUUCUCCAUCUGCAUUGCUUGCUUGAAAAAACAUA